RNAcentral lists this small RNA (59 nucleotides) under Arabidopsis thaliana (thale cress). Its description in RNAcentral is "ATSL289540". The record is from RNAcentral. Lineage: Eukaryota; Viridiplantae; Streptophyta; Magnoliopsida; Brassicales; Brassicaceae.
GUAUGAGAAUGACUUGUUAAUCUGAUUCUCCAUAUGUUUCUUCUUUCAAAUCUUUAUCA